This 72-nucleotide transfer RNA is filed under the name Camelus bactrianus (Bactrian camel). It matches the Rfam family "tRNA". Rfam says of the family: Transfer RNA (tRNA) molecules are approximately 80 nucleotides in length. Their secondary structure includes four short double-helical elements and three loops (D, anti-codon, and T loops). Lineage: Eukaryota; Metazoa; Chordata; Mammalia; Artiodactyla; Camelidae. RNAcentral also lists the same sequence under 2 other names. The record is from Rfam by way of RNAcentral.
GAGGGUAUAGCUCAAUGGUAGAGUGCAUGUUUAGCAUGCAUGAGGUCCUGGGUUCAAUUCCCAGUACCUCUG